RNAcentral lists this long non-coding RNA (1132 nucleotides) under Phasianus colchicus (ring-necked pheasant). RNAcentral's name for it is "lncRNA (ENSPCLG00000013741.1)". Lineage: Eukaryota; Metazoa; Chordata; Aves; Galliformes; Phasianidae. The record is from RNAcentral.
CCCGAGGCCGAAUUCGGCUUUUUGUUGCCGCCCCCCCCCCCCACGGGGGCCGCCCGGAGUCCGUCCCGUCCUGAGGUACGAAAUGGGGUCUGCGGGAGAGCGACUUCCGGUUGAGGGCCGGAAGUGGGGGGCGACAUCCGGCGGAGGGCCGGAAGUGGGAGAGGGAGACGUCCGAUUGAAGGCUGAAAGUUAAGCAGCUACUUCCGGCAUAGGCCACUUCCGGUAUAGAACGGAAGUUGUGAGGGAGAGCCAUUUAAUUAGACCGUGGGGAAAACGGUAACCGGAAUUGGGGUUCCCCUCAACGGGGCGAUCUCAGCACAGCGGAGCGCUCCGUGCCCCCGCUCUCACGGAGCCCCAAUUCUCCCCCCACUGCCGCCUGAGCGGCCCCUGCGGAGCUCCAUUUUCCAGCGCACUCCGCCAUUUGUUAAACCCGCUGCUGCGCAUGCGCACCACGCCUCCAGCGCCCCACACCGGAAGCGCUCUUGCCGGAAGUGCCACCUAGGAGGGCUCUCACAGGAAGUGCUCUCUGGUCGCGCUCUCAUUAGCCGUGAAACACCGGAAGUGUCUUCUAGCGGCCCUCUAACCGGAAGCGCAGACACCGGAAGUGAGGCCGCGAAGAGCUCACACCGGAAGUGUAGUCAGGACGCGCUCUUAUCAGCACUGUAACACCAGAAGCGUCGCCUAGGAGCCUCCCUAACCGAAAGCGCAGGCACCGGAAAUGAGGCCGUGAAGAGCUCACACCGGAAGUGCCAUCUGGACGCGCUCUCAUCAGCCGUGAGACGGCAGAGGCGUCGUCUGGGAGCCUAACCGGGAGCACACGCACCGGAAGUGAGGCCGUGAAGCGCUCACACCAGAAGUGACGUCUGGACGCGCUCUUAACUACCGGGAAAAACCGGAAGUGUCAUCUAGAAGCCCCCUAACCGGAAGCUCACGCACCGGAAGUGACGCAGUGAGGAGCUUCCCACCUGCAGUGGGAAAAAGCGGCGGUCUCAUCCAGAAGCGCUUUCGCCGGAAAGCGAAUAACCGGAAGUAGCAUAAAAAACCGGAAGUGUCAUCGGGAACGGGUAACGUUCGGCAGAAGUACCGACCGGAAGUGCCGCACCGGAAGUCCCGGAGGCGGCGGAGCGGACCG